This 67-nucleotide transfer RNA is filed under the name Urochelellus acutihumeralis. Its description in RNAcentral is "tRNA-Leu". The record is from RNAcentral. Lineage: Eukaryota; Metazoa; Arthropoda; Insecta; Hemiptera; Urostylididae.
AUUACUUUGGCAGAUCAAUGUAUUAAAUUUAGAAUUUAAUUAUGUAAUAUAAAUAUUACAAGUAAUU